UGGGGAAUAUUGGACAAUGGGCGCAAGCCUGAUCCAGCCAUGCCGCGUGUGUGAAGAAGGCCUUUUGGUUGUAAAGCACUUUAAGCGAGGAGGAGGAUACUUGGAUUAAUACUCUAGGAAAGUGGACGUUACUCGCAGAAUAAGCACCGGCUAACUCUGUGCCAGCAGCCGCGGUAAUACAGAGGGUGCGAGCGUUAAUCGGAUUUACUGGGCGUAAAGCGUGCGUAGGCGGCUUUGUAAGUCGGAUGUGAAAUCCCUGAGCUUAACUUAGGAAUUGCAGUCGAUACUGGGAAGCUAGAGUAUGGGAGAGGAUGGUAGAAUUCCAGGUGUAGCGGUGAAAUGCGUAGAGAUCUGGAGGAAUACCGAUGGCGAAGGCAGCCAUCUGGCCUAAUACUGACGCUGAGGUACGAAAGCAUGGGGAGCAAACAGG
RNAcentral lists this ribosomal RNA (430 nucleotides) under Acidobacteriota bacterium. RNAcentral describes it as "Acidobacteria bacterium partial 16S ribosomal RNA". It matches the Rfam family "Bacterial small subunit ribosomal RNA", at positions 355 to 776 of the family's 1533-position model. Lineage: Bacteria; Pseudomonadati; Acidobacteriota. The record is from RNAcentral.